RNAcentral lists this ribosomal RNA (497 nucleotides) under uncultured bacterium. Its description in RNAcentral is "partial 16S ribosomal RNA". It matches the Rfam family "Bacterial small subunit ribosomal RNA", at positions 28 to 507 of the family's 1533-position model. The record is from RNAcentral.
GAUGAACGCUGGCGGCGUGCCUAAUACAUGCAAGUCGAGCGAACGGACGAGAAGCUUGCUUCUCUGAUGUUAGCGGCGGACGGGUGAGUAACACGUGGAUAACCUACCUAUAAGACUGGGAUAACUUCGGGAAACCGGAGCCAAUACCGGAUGAUAUUUUGAACCGCAUGGUUCAAAAGUGAAAGACGGUCUUGCUGUCACUUAUAGAUGGAUCCGCGCUGCAUUAGCUAGUUGGUAAGGUAACGGCUUACCAAGGCAACGAUGCAUAGCCGACCUGAGAGGGUGAUCGGCCACACUGGAACUGAGACACGGUCCAGACUCCUACGGGAGGCAGCAGUAGGGAAUCUUCCGCAAUGGGCGAAAGCCUGACGGAGCAACGCCGCGUGAGCGAUGAAGGUCUUCGGAUCGUAAAACUCUGUUAUUAGGGAAGAACAUAUGUGUAAGUAACUGUGCACAUCUUGACGGUACCUAAUCAGAAAGCCACGGCUAACUACGUG